GCGAGAGUGGUGAAACUGGUAGACACGCCAGACUUAGGAUCUGGUGCCUUUGGUAUAAGGGUUCAAGUCCCUUCUCUCGCA
RNAcentral lists this transfer RNA (81 nucleotides) under Treponema sp. RNAcentral describes it as "tRNA-Leu". It matches the Rfam family "tRNA". Rfam says of the family: Transfer RNA (tRNA) molecules are approximately 80 nucleotides in length. Their secondary structure includes four short double-helical elements and three loops (D, anti-codon, and T loops). The record is from RNAcentral. Lineage: Bacteria; Pseudomonadati; Spirochaetota; Spirochaetia; Treponematales; Treponemataceae.